Molecule: ribosomal RNA, 440 nt
Filed under: uncultured bacterium
Lineage: Bacteria
Description: partial 16S ribosomal RNA
Rfam family: Bacterial small subunit ribosomal RNA
Source: RNAcentral
CCUACGGGUGGCAGCAGUGGGGGAUAUUGCACAAUGGGGGAAACCCUGAUGCAGCGACGCCGCGUGAGUGAAGAAGUAUUUCGGUAUGUAAAGCUCUAUCAGCAGGGAAGAAAAUGACAGUACCUGACCAAGAAGCCCCGGCUAACUACGUGCCAGCAGCCGCGGUAAUACGUAGGGGGCAAGCGUUAUCCGGAUUUACUGGGUGUAAAGGGAGCGUAGACGGUUAUGUAAGUCUGGAGUGAAAGCCCGGGGCCCAACCCCGGGACUGCUUUGGAAACUGUGUAACUGGAGUACAGGAGGGGCAGGCGGAAUUCCUGGUGUAGCGGUGAAAUGCGUAGAUAUCAGGAGGAACACCGGCGGCGAAGGCAGCUUGCUGCAGCGGAACUGACGCUGAUGCUCGAAAGCGCGGGUAUCGAACAGGAUUAGAUACCCUAGUAGUC